Molecule: long non-coding RNA, 917 nt
Organism: Xenopus laevis (African clawed frog)
Lineage: Eukaryota; Metazoa; Chordata; Amphibia; Anura; Pipidae
Exons: 2
Source: RefSeq, a predicted model, not a curated record
UAGGGAUCGGAUAGAUUAACCUUCGUAAGUACAUACGACAAAAGGAGUAAGAAGGUAGAAAAGAUAGUGAAACAAUAUUGGCCACUUCUGCAAACUGAUGCUAUCUUCGGAAAAGUUUUUUCGAAUCCCCCGCGGUUCUCGUAUAAAAAGGGUAAGUCAAUAAGAGACACAUUAUGUGCCAUUUCAAGAGUGGAUAAUAGCAAUACUGUGUUUAAAGGUACACCAAAAGUAGGCACAUACCCGUGCAUGAAUUGCAACUGUUGCAAUUCCAUUAUAAAAGGACCUUGUAUAAAUCAUCCCAUUACAGGUGAGGUAAUCAAACUAAAGUCAUACGCCACAUGUAAAACCAGCCACGUAAUUUAUGCUCUGAAAUGUCCCUGCGGGAAAAUGUACGUAGGGAAGACAAUAAGGUCUGUCAGUACUAGGAUAAAAGAGCAUAAAGGCAAUAUACGCAAUUUUAAAAAUGAUACCUAUACUGACACUCCUGUAGCCAGACAUUUUGAUACUGUAAAACAUAAUGUAUGUCAGCUAAAGUGGAUAGUGUUAGAGACAGUAGCAAAACCCAGUAGAGGAGGUGAUCAUAACUUGAUACUAUUGCAGAGGGAGGCCAGAUGGAUAAAGCGCUUGGAUAGUGCUUAUCCGAAAGGGUUAAAUGAGCAGUGCAAUUUAUCAUGUUUUCUUUAAUAGUAAUGGCUUGUCGUCCUUUGUUCCCAGGAAUUAUAACUAGAUUCCAAGUUGUAAUGACAUGGAACUCCUGCUGCAUUUACAUAUGGGUCUUUUACAGGUUAGGCGGAUUGAGCAGUAACCUGGUUUUAACAUUAUGUUUCAGUGGGAUUUCAACAUGUAUUAUAUGAAAUAAUGUGUGUCACUUUUAAUAGCUAGAUGAAUUGGGUCACAAUAAGUUUUUACAAUAUUUA